This 497-nucleotide ribosomal RNA is filed under the name uncultured bacterium. Its description in RNAcentral is "partial 16S ribosomal RNA". It matches the Rfam family "Bacterial small subunit ribosomal RNA", at positions 28 to 507 of the family's 1533-position model. The record is from RNAcentral.
GAUGAACGCUGGCGGCGUGCCUAAUACAUGCAAGUCGAGCGAACAGACGAGGAGCUUGCUCUUCUGACGUUAGCGGCGAACGGGUGAGUAAUACGUGGAUAACCUACCUAUAAGACUGGGAUAACUUCGGGAAACCGGGGCUAAUACUGGAUAAUAUAUUGAACCGCAUGGUUCUAUAGUGAAAGACGGUUUUGCUGUCACUUAUAGCUGGCUCCGAGCCGCAUUAGCUAGGUGGUAAGGUAACGGCUUACCAAGGCAACGAUGCGUAGCCGACCUGCAAGGGGGAUCGCCCACACGGGAACUGGACCACGGACCAGACUCCUACGGGAGGCAGCAGUAUGGAAUGUGCGGCAAUAGGCGAAAGCCUGACAGAGCAACGCCGCGUCAGAUAUGAAGGUCUUCGGUGCGGAAAACUCUGUUAUGGGGGAAGAACAAAUGUGUAAAUAACUAUACACGUCUUGACGGUACCUAAACAGAAAGCCACGGCUAACUACGUG